This is a non-coding RNA of Vicia faba (fava bean), 216 nucleotides long. The record is from the annotation of a GenBank genome assembly. NCBI's taxonomy places the organism in Eukaryota, Viridiplantae, Streptophyta, Magnoliopsida, Fabales, Fabaceae.
AUGAACAGAUGCGUAAAAGGAAAGAUGAAAAGAAGAAAAAAAAGAGUAAAAGGUAAACCGCCAGAGGGGUCCGUACCAGAGGGAGUCGGCCACGGCUUGUCUCAAGUAUGCUAUUUAUGCUAUUUAAUCUUUGUCCUAAGAACUCUGCAGAUAACUUCUUUUGAUAAGUCUCUGAUUCCUUCCAUCUUCUUCAAUAGUGUUUGUUUAUGGUGUUGA